CGUCCCUUGAGAAACUGGCAGGCACAGUGCCACAUUUUCAAAACUCUAUUCCUUUCCAAAUUGAAUUCCCUCAACCGUUUAGGAGUCCAUCAAAUGACAUAGGGCAGUGUUCAUAAAUUUGGAGUUUGCUCUGUUUUCUUUGCAAUCUGAGUGUUUGAAGUAAUGACUAUAAUCCAGAGAAGCUGUUGUGUUACAAAUGGACAAGGCAAGCUGCAGUACGGCCUGUAGUCAUGGAGAAAGCUCUCUAUCCAUGAUGAUAAACUUUCCCUGACACAGAGAACCAAUACCCAAGGAUACAAGAGGAGGUAUCCACCACUGAUGUCACCCAAGAUUGAUCCUUUCUCGCAGUUGAGUCGACAGUGCCAAUAUUCUGCAGGAGUGCAAGGCAGGAUUGGUGUCCCCCCUCAUGGAUGUUCACCAUUGACUGCUGAAGCAUAGUUUACAGAGUGCUGCAUCGGAAGAAAAGCAUCUGCUCCUGUAAAGACGCCUCUGCAUAAAGCUUCCUCCCUCCCUCACAGAGAUACAGAGCUUUCUCUCUCACGUGUUCCUGGCUCAUGUUGGGUGGUGGAAUGAACGCAGCGGCUGCUAACUCUGGCCCGAUGCCACUCUGCUGCCAGGCUCUUGAUCUUGCUCUUGCUGCCCUGCCCAGACAGGUGGUAGCCUGGGGGUGAAAGAGGGGCUGGGUUCACUGAGCUGUGUAGAAGACCUUUGGUUUGUCCUUUUGUUGACUGUGCAGACCCCUGUGCACAGGAGUGUUAUCAGCUGGCUGUCGAAAACUCCCACCUACCUGCCAGAACCCCUGCCACCUCUCCACAACACUUCCCGGUGUUAAUUAAAGAGGGAUAUGGCACAGGCGCCACAGCAAAUACCAUCCUCUCUGAGAGGGGUCCUAUUCCCUUUGCUCUGGAUCUAUGAUGUUAAUCUAUACGUUGAUUUAGGACUGGUCUGCAUUUUAAUUCACACGGGGAGGUCUGCUACAUAGAUGACUUAAUGAAUAUUAGAAUAUGAUCAAAACACAAGGAGCACAUUUGGAUUUAUACCUUUUCAUUUAUGAAGCUAAACAAACUUUUAAUUGUAUUUUAAUGCAGUGAUGCUUGUGCCGUAUUUUGGGGUGCUAGUAGUCAUUACAGAUCACUAACCUUGAGUUUUUAUGGUAUUGAUUUUAAGUGUUAGGGUUUCUCAUAAGCAUGCAAACAUUCAUGUGCUCAUGCAUGCAUGAUACAGCACCCUUAGCCCACACACAAACAUGCACACAUUCACACAGAUUGAGAGCUCUGUGAAACCACCUAUCAACCCAUUAUGCACAUGGCAGAGUAAAGCGAUCCACUAUAAGUGCAUUGAUCCUCCAGGCCUCACUCAGUGUGAUGAAGACCCGGGCCUAGUGAUAACAUUUCACAGCCAGACAAGCCACUACUACGAUACAGCACAUGGCUGAAUGGACAGUAAGGAGCUGACUCACAGUGUUGGUAGGAAAAACAGCAGAUCAUGGACUGAUUGAGCCGAAUAUCUUAAGGCAAUUGAAGAGAACUUGAAUAGGUCUAUAAAGAAAUCAUACUAGCAAUUCCACUGUUUCUCUAGGAGAUGAUUACAGGCUUGGCUGCAUUGUGAAGUACAUUAAGUCACACAAAAUGGAAAUCUCAGCAUCUCUUGAUAUGUCUACCACUCACAUUGAGGAACACACUCCGGAUUCAAGGGGUGCAAGAGCGUGAGAUUGAAAAUGGUACGGAUACUCAUUGAAGGUGUCUGGAGGCAAGGCCCAAGUAAAUCUGGAUGAUGUUUGCCUUUUAUCAAAGUUGACUUUUUACUAAUGCCACAGGGAGGUGGCUGCAUCAAAAUGCCUCUAUUCUUAGGGGAAAUGUGCAGUGAACUCGUCUGGCAUCUCACCAUAAGAAGCUAUGCUGCCCUUUAAAGGAGCCACAUUUAUAUAGUUUUUAAAAAACCCACGGCUAAGAAGAUGUAAAUAGCCAAGCACGACAUAGUUGCUGUCACACUGCCCUUGGAUGAAGAAUAUCUGUCUGGCAGACAGUGGCCCCUGGGUGAACCUGGCAUUUGAUGCAAUUUGUCUGGUCCCAGGGCUGAAUACACAGUAAAGGUUUAUUCUUGGUCAGUGCUCCAUUAGAGCGUCAGAUUUGUAUUCUUUGUUGUGUUGGUUUUAUCUGUAUAAUAAUGUACCUUCGUAUUGAAUGGUUUAAUUUGGGUUUUAAGGCUUCUCAAGAUGAAUAAGAGUCUAAAAAAGCUUUCAAUAAUGUACUUCAAUGUAAUGUCUGUGGAGUGACAAGCACCAUAUAAACUACUGUAAAAUGCCAUCAGUGGUUUUAUACAUCACAGUGCAGAAUCCAUCUGCAGGGUAUGUUGAACUUUACAGGGUGUUUUCUCCCAUGCUGACAGCAACAUGCAAAAGAAAUCAGCUUGGACAGAAUGAAGGCUUUCAUACAAAAAAGGUUUCAUUGAAAGAUAUUUUACAUGAUGUCACAUGAUAUUUUA
This is a long non-coding RNA of Micropterus salmoides (largemouth bass), 2484 nucleotides long. RefSeq lists it as uncharacterized. The record is from RefSeq and is a predicted model, not a curated record. The transcript is spliced from 4 exons. NCBI's taxonomy places the organism in Eukaryota, Metazoa, Chordata, Actinopteri, Centrarchiformes, Centrarchidae.